CUGGCUCAGGAUGAACGCUGGCGGCGUGCUUAACACAUGCAAGUCGAGCGAUGAAGUUUCCUUCGGGAAACGGAUUAGCGGCGGACGGGUGAGUAACACGUGGGUAACCUGCCUCAUAGAGUGGAAUAGCCUUCCGAAAGGAAGAUUAAUACCGCAUAAUGUUGAAAGAUGGCAUCAUUAUUCAACCAAAGGAGCAAUCCGCUAUGAGAUGGACCCGCGGCGCAUUAGCUAGUUGGUGGGGUAACGGCCUACCAAGGCGACGAUGCGUAGCCGACCUGAGAGGGUGAUCGGCCACAUUGGGACUGAGACACGGCCCAGACUCCUACGGGAGGCAGCAGUGGGGAAUAUUGCACAAUGGGGGAAACCCUGAUGCAGCAACGCCGCGUGAGUGAUGAAGGUUUUCGGAUCGUAAAGCUCUGUCUUUGGGAAGAUAAUGACGGUACCCAAGGAGGAAGCCACGGCUAACUACGUGCCAGCAGCCGCGGUAAUACGUAGGUGGCGAGCGUUAUCCGGAUUUACUGGGCGUAAAGGGAGCGUAGGCGGAUGAUUAAGUGGGAUGUGAAAUACCCGGGCUCAACUUGGGUGCUGCAUUCCAAACUGGUUAUCUAGAGUGCAGGAGAGGAGAGUGGAAUUCCUAGUGUAGCGGUGAAAUGCGUAGA
RNAcentral lists this ribosomal RNA (659 nucleotides) under uncultured bacterium. RNAcentral's name for it is "bacterial SSU rRNA". It matches the Rfam family "Bacterial small subunit ribosomal RNA", at positions 19 to 694 of the family's 1533-position model. The record is from RNAcentral.